UAAGGGCCUGCCCACUGAUUUGUUGAAGGGCUGCAGUAUUUUGACUGUACAAAGGUAGCAUAAUCAUUAGUCUUUUAAUUGGGGACUGGUAUGAAAGGUUUGACGGAGGCUGACUGUCUCACUUACUAAAUAAUGAAUUUUAUUUUUAAGGAAAAGGGCUUAAAUUUUUCAAUGGGACGAGAAGACCCUAUUAAAUUUUACUAUUGAAUAAUUGAACUAUUGGUGUGAUAAGAUUUUUAAUUAUUAAAUAGUUUUACUGGGGCGGUAAGUAAAAAUCUUUAUUUAGGUUUAAUAUGUUGAUUAGCGUUAUAUUUGAUCCAUUAAGGGUGAUAUUAAGAAUAAAUUACUAUAGGGAUAACAGCGUAAUAUUUUUUGAGAGUUCAUAUUGACAAAAGUGUUUGCGACCUCGAUGUUGGAUUAAGAAGUCUUAUUGGUGCAGUAGUUGAUAUAGAAGGUCUGUUCGACCUUUAAAUUCUUACAUGAUCUGAGUUCAAACCGGA
RNAcentral lists this ribosomal RNA (500 nucleotides) under Spirostreptus kruegeri. RNAcentral's name for it is "partial large subunit ribosomal RNA". It matches the Rfam family "Archaeal large subunit ribosomal RNA", at positions 1944 to 2689 of the family's 2987-position model. The record is from RNAcentral. Lineage: Eukaryota; Metazoa; Arthropoda; Diplopoda; Spirostreptida; Spirostreptidae.